UCGUAGACCCGAAACCAGGUGAUCUACCCUUGGUCAGGUUGAAGUUCAGGUAACACUGAAUGGAGGACCGAACCGACUUACGUUGAAAAGUGAGCGGAUGAACUGAGGGUAGCGGAGAAAUUCCAAUCGAACCUGGAGAUAGCUGGUUCUCUCCGAAAUAGCUUUAGGGCUAGCCUCAAGUGAUGAUUAUUGGAGGUAGAGCACUGUUUGGACGAGGGGCCCCUCUCGGGUUACCGAAUUCAGACAAACUCCGAAUGCCAAUUAAUUUAACUUGGGAGUC
This 280-nucleotide ribosomal RNA is filed under the name Staphylococcus aureus. RNAcentral's name for it is "partial 23S ribosomal RNA". It matches the Rfam family "Bacterial large subunit ribosomal RNA", at positions 707 to 985 of the family's 2925-position model. The record is from RNAcentral. Lineage: Bacteria; Bacillati; Bacillota; Bacilli; Caryophanales; Staphylococcaceae.